Molecule: long non-coding RNA, 3332 nt
Organism: Vidua chalybeata
Lineage: Eukaryota; Metazoa; Chordata; Aves; Passeriformes; Viduidae
Exons: 3
Source: RefSeq, a predicted model, not a curated record
GCACAAGUCUCCCUCUGCUCCUUGCUGGCCUGGGCUGGACCCACUUUCCCUGGCCCAUGGAGGAGUUUUCCAGCAUAGCCCAGCCCUCUACUCUGGCCUGGAGCCCCAGAGUAGGCUCAUCCACUCUCCCACGUACCCUGCAGCACCCCAUCAUGAGCCCCAGUCAUCUCCCUGUUCCUGUUUCCCAAACGUUUCCCUUGUCAAGUGGCUUUGGAAAGAUCCCGUGCCUCUGCUGCAUAAAUCUCUCCCUCCCUGCUGGCCCUCCUGUCCUCCCCAUUCUGGUACUUGCAGAAUCACCAAAUUCGAAGCUGUGGAACUCCCAAGUACUCCGUGCUCCCUCCUGCAGGCCAUCACAAGGGUGUGUCACUGUGUCCCCACGCCCUCCCCUCUGAGCCGGCUCCUCAGGGUGCCCAUUGCCACUGUCCUCUCACCUGUGCUGCUUUCAGCUGCUCUCUGAGGUUCUGCCACCACCAAGAACUAGCACUUUCCAUUCCCAAUGCAGCUCAGAGGAUGCAAAACUCCCCAGCCAGUGUCUUUGUUUUUGGAGGAAGAGCACAGCUUUUUGUUCUGGAAACAAUAAGAACCACUCCACUGAUCCAUACCUGGUCUUCCUUUUGUUAUUCUUCAGUACCCGUCCUUCCCUUUGGAAACCUCGGAGCCAGGAGCCUCAUCAGCUGCUCUGUGCAAACACACUUUGCUUUAUUCUGCUGUCUGAACACAGAGCCAGAAGAGAGAGAGGCCAGCAGCUUCUGGUGGAUCAGCUGUUGCCAACACACGUGGCCCAGGUAGAGCCUGUGAUUUAUUUAGUAUGUACAGUUACAAUAAUGUCAUUUUGGAAUCAGUCUCAUGAGACAGAUGUGAACAAAAGGGUAACAUUUGGAGGAGGAGAAUUCCUGAUUUGUGCUCAGACAGAAGAAAUUCUCCUUCUCUGCUACCUUGGCAAUAACACAAUAAGGGAGGAAAACAAAAUCAUUCACAUUCCCAACUCCCUCCUCUUCAAUAGCACCAACAUAUAUUUUGAAGAGCCUCAGUGCAGGUUUUUACUGCAGAAAAUAAAGAAUGAAUUGUGUCCCCCCUGAACAGCAGCAAGAGAACAUCCUGACUGCCUCCAGCCUCAGCUGCUCACUUCCUGCUUGCUGAGCCUUCUGGCUUGACCAAGCCACAGCACAAACACAUUUGGCACCAGCCAACCCCUUCAUUGCUGAAGGACACAUCCAAGACCUCCACAUCUUGAACUCCAGCAGCUCCUGCAGUCCCUGCUUAGCUGGGGGCAGGGGGUGCUUGGCUGGACCGGGAUUGCUGGAACGUCCCUUCCCCAGCUCCCUGCACUGCCAAAGGCAGCCCAGGGCAGGCACAAGGAGCCAGAGCAGGCUGAGACAGCUUUUAACACAUUCAAAUAGUGCUACAGCCAGUUAUAGACUGUGAGAAAUGACUGCUCACUUUAAAAGUUUCAAAGGCUUAUUAAUCCAUUACAAAUACAACAAAGGACAGAAUAAGGAAAACCAGCAAAGCUGACAGCAUGACCGACUACCACAAACUCGGCCACAAAAUGGCUGCUCCGCCUUUUAAACCCCUGGAGGUGCAGCCAACCCUGGCCCCUCCCAAGCCUGUCAGUCAACUCUUCUCUGCCACCCAUUGGUGGAGAUCAUUUCUUGCAAGUUGAUUGGGGGUCAGGUGUUGCCAUGCCACGCCCCCCAGCAACAAGCCCAUUCGCACCUGGGCCUCACAGCCGGGGAGGGGAGGGGGCACUUUGGGGAGAGCAAACAGCGGACUGCAAUAUCGGAACCGUACAUCAACAAAACUUCUCAUAACGAGAAGCCAAAGCCCCUGGGUGUCAUUAGCAAGUGGCUGCAGGGCUGAGGGACAGCUCAGGGGCUGCGUGUGAGCUGCUGCUCCCAGAUCUCUCCUUCCCUCAGCAGGAGCUGGCUCUGGUGAGGCUGUGGGGAAGGAGCUUCCUGCCAGGGUCACACCCUACAUGAGGCUGCACUGCUGGGUGACAGCCCGAUGGCCCUGCUGGGUGACAGCCCGAUGGCCCUGCUGCACCCCUUGUUCUGCCUGUGACACCCAGCCAUGUCCAGGAGCAGCCCGAGGUUGGCCCAAGGCAGCAGUGAUGUCUCUGUGGGGACUCAGCCCCUCCACGAGCCUAGGGACAGCACAGACACCCCUGUGCAGCCUGUGGGAGCCCUACUCAAGCCAGCCAAAGAGGAGGUGUCCAUGUCCUCUGGUGCCCUGGGUAUGCAGGGGAAGCCCUGGACUAGAAUUUUCCUGCCCUCAGCACUCUCCAGAGUGCUCCAGGACCCCCUGAGAGCCCCCCACGGCACUGCCCAUCCAACUGCACCAGCAUCUGCUGUCUAGUUUUGAGCUGUAUUGUUUGAGCAAAUGAAGAAACAAGGACACACAAACCACGAUUCACUCAAACUCAUGCAGUAGAUUUGGGUGAAUACUGCCCUGGGGUGUUUUCUCCUUGGAUCAUGUCACUCAUUUUUCAAUCCAUCAGCCCUGUGUGUUUUGCGGCCUUUCAAAUGCUGCCCUGACCCGCAGUGAGGGAAUCUAGCUGUACCCAGGGCUCACGUGGAUGCUUCACUCCUUGCUGGGGGCCAUGAGCUCCAUCCCUAACCUGAGCCACAGUUUGGCCUCUUCCAGACCAAAAGUCUCCACUCCUUGAAGCCAGGAACCUGUGUCCUUGGGUGAGGAGGAUCAGGAAAGGACAAGGUGGGGAAAAAAUACGAGCAGUGAGCUCAACACCAAGUGUGUGAUUUCCACAGAGGCCCCUCAGAUGCUUCCAAUCCUGGUGGUUUUUGGAGGGAGGGCAUCAUUUUGAGUAUUGAUUCAAAUGACCUCCACCAUUAAUCUUUGCAAGGGAUUUUUUUUAUUCCUCCAAGAGAACAGGCAAUUUUAGCCACCGCAUCAUCCUGGGGGGAGAGGGACGUGGACAGCUUUGAAGGCACCCAGCUCAAAGCCCGAGUUAUUCUCCUUGCUUUUCCCUCACCACCUCAGCAGCAAGAACACAUAAAUUGUGUGUCAUAGCUGCCUUUUCAUCUGUCCCAGGAGUUAUAGACUGCACACAUAAGACAAUUCGUGUUCCUCUGCAUAAUGAGGUGCCGAGAGCGAUGCCCCAAAGAGUCCCCACUAGUGGCUUCUCUCCAGUUUCACAAUACCAUCAGAAAUCCAUUACCAAAUGCAUAAAAACCCAUGGAUUUUUAAUAAAAUGAGCCCCCUAAAGCUCAGAAAACAGCCUGGAUGUCUCCAUAAAUCCUGAUGCAUGUGAUUAAAGAAAACAGAGCAAGAGCGUGCCUCAAUUCGUCACAGGGUCAUUUUGGACAUCCACUAUU